AGGGUUUGAUCAUGGCUCAGGACGAACGCUGGCGGCGUGCUUAACACAUGCAAGUCACGGGGGCCCGCAAGGGUAACCGGCGAACGGGUGCGUAACACGUGAGCAAUCUGCCGUACACUGGGGGAUAGCCGGCCCAACGGCCGGGUAAUACCGCAUACGUUCUUUGCGUGGCAUCACGCGGAGAAGAAACCUCCGGGGGUGUACGAGGAGCUCGCGGCCUAUCAGGUAGUUGGUGGGGUCACGGCCUACCAAGCCAUUGACGGGUAGCUGAUCUGAGAGGAUGGCCAGCCACAUUGGGACUGAGAUACGGCCCAGACUCCUACGGGAGGCAGCAGUGGGGAAUAUUGCGCAAUGGCCGCAAGGCUGACGCAGCGACGCCGCGUGGGGGAUGAAGCAUUUCGGUGUGUAAACCCCUGUUGCUCGGGACGAACAACGAGUUUCGACUCGUCUGACGGUACCGGGUGAGGAAGCACCGGCUAACUCCGUGCCAGCAGCCGCGGUAAUACGGAGGGUGCGAGCGUUGUCCGGAAUCACUGGGCGUAAAGGGCGCGUAGGCGGUCUGCUAAGCGUGUGGUGAAAGCUCGGGGCUCAACCCCGAGUCGGCCAUGCGAACUGGUGGACUUGAGCACUGUAGAGGCAGGUGGAAUUCCGGGUGUAGCGGUGGAAUGCGUAGAGAUCCGGAAGAACACCGGUGGCGAAGGCGGCCUGCUGGGCAGUAGCUGACGCUGAGGCGCGACAGCGUGGGGAGCAAACAGGAUUAGAUACCCUGGUAGUCCGCGCCCUAAACGAUGUCAAACUGGUUGUUGGGAGAGAAAUCUUUCAGUAACGAAGCUAACGCGUGAAGUUGACCGCCUGGGGAGUACGGCCGCAGGGUUGAAACUCAAAGGAAUUGACGGGGGCCCGCACAAGCGGUGGAUGAUGUGGAUUAAUUCGAUGCAACGCGAAGAACCUUACCUGCUCUUGACAUGCCAGGAACCUUGGAGAGAUCUGAGGGUGCCCGAAAGGGAAUCUGGACACAGGUGCUGCAUGGCUGUCGUCAGCUCGUGUCGUGAGAUGUUGGGUUAAGUCCCGCAACGAGCGCAACCCUUAUCAUUAGUUGCUACGCAAGGGCACUUUAAUGAGACUGCCGGUGACAAACCGGAGGAAGGUGGGGAUGACGUCAAGUCCUCAUGGCCCUUAUGAGCAGGGCUUCACACGUCAUACAAUGGUCGGUACAGAGGGUUGCCAACCCGCGAGGGGGAGCCAAUCCCACACAGCCGAUCGUAGUCCGGAUCGCAGUCUGCAACUCGACUGCGUGAAGUCGGAAUCGCUAGUAAUCGCGGAUCAGCAUGUCGCGGUGAAUACGUUCCCGGGCCUUGUACACACCGCCCGUCACACCAUGGGAGUAGGUUGCUCCAGAAGUAGGUAGCCUAACCGCAAGGGGGGCGCUUACCACGGAGUGAUCCAUGACUGGGGUGAAGUCGUAACAAGGUAACCA
RNAcentral lists this ribosomal RNA (1477 nucleotides) under uncultured bacterium. Its description in RNAcentral is "partial 16S ribosomal RNA". It matches the Rfam family "Bacterial small subunit ribosomal RNA". The record is from RNAcentral.